CCCUUAGAUGUUCUGGGCCGCACGCGCGCUACACUGACACGUUCAUCAAGUCUAUAACCUUGACCGAGAGGUCUGGGUAAUCUUUUAAAACGUGUCGUGCUGGGGAUAGAUUAUUGCAAUUAUUAAUCUUCAACGAGGAAUUCCUAGUAAACGCAAGUCAUCAACUUGCAUUGAUUACGUCCCUGCCCUUUGUACACACCGCCCGUCGCUACUACCGAUUGAAUGAUUUAGUGAGUACCAGGGACCGAGCGCUUUGGUUGGGUUUCCUUCCCUAGCGCUUGGGAACUGUCGCAAACUUGACCAUUUAGAGGAAGUAAAAGUCGUAACA
RNAcentral lists this ribosomal RNA (328 nucleotides) under uncultured eukaryote. Its description in RNAcentral is "partial 18S ribosomal RNA". It matches the Rfam family "Eukaryotic small subunit ribosomal RNA", at positions 1470 to 1796 of the family's 1831-position model. The record is from RNAcentral.